This 413-nucleotide unclassified non-coding RNA is filed under the name soil metagenome. RNAcentral's name for it is "partial contains 5.8S ribosomal RNA, internal transcribed spacer 2, and large subunit ribosomal RNA". The stretch from base 1 to 120 matches the Rfam family "5.8S ribosomal RNA", at positions 35 to 154 of the family's 154-position model. The record is from RNAcentral.
GAUGAAGAACGUAGCGAAAUGCGAUAAGUAAUGUGAAUUGCAGAAUUCAGUGAAUCAUCGAAUCUUUGAACGCACCUUGCGCUCUUUGGUAUUCCGAAGAGCAUGCCUGUUUGAGUGUCAUGAAAAUAUCAACCUUGACUUGGGUUUUGUGCUCUAGUCUCGGCUUGGAAUUGGGUGCUUGCCGCUUUUACGAGCGGCUCACCUUAAAUGUAUUAGCUGGAUCUGUCUUUGAGACUUGGUUUGACUUGGCGUAAUAAGUAUUUCGCUAAGGACAUUCUUCGGAGUGGCCUCGUUUCUAGGACGCGUGUCCGCUUUCCAAUACAAGUUCCACCUCGUGGACAUGACUUUUUAUUAUCUGGCCUCAAAUCAGGUAGGACUACCCGCUGAACUUAAGCAUAUCAAUAAGCGGAGGA